ACACACCUUUCAGGAAAAAAAGGAAAACCUCCCCCUCAUUGUUGCGCUGGACUACAAUAAACACAAAUACCCUUUUUAAAAGAUUUUCUUUCCAUUUAGAUAAAUGGAUUUAUAAGACUUUUCCAAGGGAGCAUUAGCUAAAUAACAGCCCAAGAGCAGGUAAGCAAAAAGAGUCAUGCUUUUCUUCAGUCUCAGUGUUUACCAAGUAAAUCUUAACAAAGUUAAAAUGUAGUAAACAACCAAGAAAACAGCAUUUCUAGAUCACUGGACCUUUCACCUUGUGGUAACUGAAUGAUUGUAAAGCAAUUUCCCUCCUCUGCAAACGAUCCUAUGCAGAAAUCAGGAUGAAUGGUGUAUUUGGGUCCUUUCAAAUUCAAAUGUGUUAUUUUAAGAUGAAGAGAAACAUACAACAUCCAGGAGGACAACAAAUGCACUUAUUGUUUUUGGGGGUUUCUAAUGAUCUUUUAAAAGUCCGGCUUUUCCAUAACAAAAUUUCUUUUACAUUUUCUCCCAUUAGGACAAAUUAAAAUAAAGCUCAACAUACUGGUCAAAGAUUGAUCUUCCAAAAAUGGAACACCACACAAACAUGACCAACAAAAUGAAGCACAGAGACAACAAGACUUUAUUUCAGAAUUAUUGAAAACAAAAUUGGAAAUGGUAUAUUUUGUGGGCUGUUAGGAAAAGCACAGAGCAUUCCUUUUUUUAUUAUCCUAAGGCUUCUCAAGACAAAUCUGCCUAGAGAUGAACAGUUGUGACUCAUGCAAUUUAUUGUUCUGAAAACAGUCACCUGUGAUAAGUUGUCCUUGUUUAGUAAGAAGAGAUUCUUAAACAUUUGACUAAAUCCCAGCCUCGGAUACAGCUGUACAUACUGUCUCAAUCAGAAUUAAUUCAGCUUCAAAGAUGUGAUCUAUUAUCUUUCUGCGCAGCUUCAUCAAAAUGGUAUUUUACAUGAACCCAAAGUCUGGGCUGGCAGUCCCGUUAGACUGCCAGGAAAACUCCCACAAGUGUUACUGGUUGGGAUUUCCCAAAUUUCUUGAGGGGAGAUCAGAAGAAAGGUCAAAGUCUGAGAGUUUGGGGACUUUCUCGGCGGGAAUAAAAAGGUGACUUGGUCCCUGGGCCCUGAAUACCAACUUCAGAGUUGAAAGGCCAAGGAGAAAAACAUCCUGAGCUUAACUGCGUCGAUUUCCCUUGGAGCCUCGGCCAAAUCCACUGGGCACCUGUGAACUUGGCCUACUAAAAUAAAAAUUGCAGCAUGAGAGGAGGAGGCACCAUGAGAGUGCUGGCAGCAAGGUGCUAUUGGAGACGAGACGGCAGUGCUGCCAGGUGUUCUGAAGGAGGAAGAGGCCAUCAUGGAAAAAGACGAACUCCUGAGGGAAGCACAGGCGGAGGUGGCACGAGAACGUCAGCUGAGAAGCAUUGAGCUGAAGCCCCUUAAUCAAUUAAGUAACUUUGUAACUAUGUCGAGAGACAAACCUCCAGAGUCUAAAUGAAUCUACAUGGGUAAAGAAUGCUGAGAUCCAGAUCAACACAGUUAUCUAAGCAACCCUAUUAAGACAAAACUUCGAAGGAGUUAUGAAAUCACCUGGAUUCACCAUGCCUUAUACAGAACCCUACCAAAAGGACCUAUAAAACCGCAAACCUUAAACCCUUAAAUUCGUCUCUUCUCUGAGGUUGCCCAAGCUCCUACCUGAGUGUGAAAUGCUUUAU
Molecule: long non-coding RNA, 1707 nt
Organism: Manis pentadactyla (Chinese pangolin)
Lineage: Eukaryota; Metazoa; Chordata; Mammalia; Pholidota; Manidae
Exons: 3
Source: RefSeq, a predicted model, not a curated record